CAUGAAAUCCGAGAAAGGAUCCAUGUAUGAAAACAAAGUGUGGACUUUGGAAGAACUACUUGAUGGUCGCAAGGCUAUUAAGUACAAAUGUAUCUUUAAAAGGAAGACAGACGAUGAUGGUAAAUGUCAUGUAACGCCCAAGAUGUUGUCCUAACCUUAUUUUGGCGCGAGGGCCACGACAGGGAUAGAAACGCAUCUCGUUGUUUUGCAAGAAUGGAUAUCGUUACAAGUACAUGUACUGAAAAUAUGAGUAUAAGGAGUUGGCUUACACUCGCCACAAGAUACAUCAGAGUCACAUCAAUAACAAUAUAAUAAACCAUUAUGAAGAAGAGCAGGGUCCGACUACGAACGAAAACAAACGAUAAAAGAACGACGUCCAUCCUUGCUAUCCCAGGCUGCCGGCCUGGAACCCAUC
This 415-nucleotide long non-coding RNA is filed under the name Hordeum vulgare. RNAcentral describes it as "long non-coding RNA (HVUL_LNC012365)". The record is from RNAcentral. Lineage: Eukaryota; Viridiplantae; Streptophyta; Magnoliopsida; Poales; Poaceae.